This 2952-nucleotide long non-coding RNA is filed under the name Triticum aestivum (bread wheat). RNAcentral's name for it is "long non-coding RNA (TAES_LNC015889)". The record is from RNAcentral. Lineage: Eukaryota; Viridiplantae; Streptophyta; Magnoliopsida; Poales; Poaceae.
UCAGAUAAUCUACAGAAUACAAUCCAUUCUUCAAGAUACAUCAGUAAAAUUGUUAGAUCAUAGUCUCAGAAAACAAAAGAGGUAUGUCCACACGCUCAUCCCUUUUGCUUAUAUCACAUAAUCAUCAUUCAACAAUAAUUUUACAAGACGACAUUCAACUCUUGGGUCUGACCCAUGAUGCACUUUCUUAAUAGCUCUCUUAUCAAGACUUUAGGACGAUCGAACACACAAGACCGCCGAAAAAUCGAAGGCAUGGAAACAACUCCAGCAACUUGCAUCCAAUAUACGCCUGCGACGCCCAAACGAUCGAAGGCACAAAGAAGCGUCCAACAAACUGAAGACACGACAUCAACACCAUCAACCUCAGGUAAUAUCCACAUGCAAUUCUUCAGGUAUGUCAGCAUUUGAUCUCAGCUCAACCUUGCUUCUAAUCUUCUAUGUAAAAACCCUACUGAGACUGAACUGUAAACCAUGUUUUUUUUCAGGCAUCCACACACUACCAUGACAGGAGUGUGAAAGCUACAAAAGGAGGUACACAAUUGAACACUUAUUGAUUUACAGUGCCAUACCAGAUAAACAAUAUUGAUCUCCAGAUGUACUGUACAUGACACCUCCAUUAUUAGUCUCUAUAUCUCCAAAUGCACUUACAUGUGUGAAGUGGCACACUAUUAAGAAAACUCUACAUGUCACUGACGAAAUCAAAUUUCCAGAGAUGACAGUCCAACAUACGUAAGCGCUAGCAGCUCACCAUACAAAAAUAAAGAAAUAUCAAGCUCUAAACUCAAGGAUCACAAAGCGGACAAGGACUGCAGAGGGAAGAAGAAAUACGAACACAUGGGCUCCUAAAAAAUUCAGAAAGGAUAAUGCUAAAGAAGAUAAGGAAUUGAAGCAUACAGGAAGAGAAAGCAACAAAAUUAACAUUAGAAUCAAUGUUGGAGACAACAAUAGAACCACAACCUCAACAAGUGCUAAUAGAAAGACAUGGAAGUUUGAAAGGCCAACAUACAAAUGCUAAUAUUGCAAAUCAUUGCUAUGGUGUGAAGAAAUAUUAAAUUCAACAAAGGAACUACGAAACCCUCUUUGGAAUAUGUUGCAAACAGGGAAAAAUCAAUCUGCCACCACUAAGAGAGCCUCCACCAUACCUCGGAAACCUCUUAAGAAAUGAAGGGCAGAAUUAUAAGGUCAUACAACUUGUUGUUUUCAUUCACAUCGAUGGGAGGAGUUGUGGACAAGGAAAUAAAAACUCACAAAGAACUUUCUGCUUUCCGUUUGCAUGGACAGAACUACCACCACAUCAGAACUCUUUUACCUGAAGGUACAGACAAACCUCGGUUCACACAGCUGUACAUCUAUAAUAAUUUAAAUGAGGUUGCAAACAGGAUAAGUGCGUCAAGAUGCAAUGAUGAUAAAUCAACAGUGUACACCAAGAUCGUCAAAGAAUUGCAAAUAAUACUCGACGACAAUAACAUCCUUAUAAAAACAAGGUAGGAAUAUAUUUGCCUAAGCAAGCAUUCUGCCAUGGACAACUGUAUGUGGCAUUAUCAAGAGUGACAAAUAAGGAAGGAUUGAAGGUGCUGAUCAACGGCAAAGAGUGUCCAACUGAAGAUGCCGCAAAGAAUAUUUUUUAUAAAGGGAUAUUCUAAUUUACAAUGUAGUUCAUCAAGUCAACAAAACUAGAAUUUUGAAUAGACAAUGCAUGUGAAAUUACAUAGAGUUGAAGACAACCUAACUAUAUAUACAUAUGUCUGAUCUUUCCACAAAAUAUUAUCGCUGAAUAUUUUUAUCUCUCUUUUAUCAUCAUUUAAAAAAAUUGAAGCACGAAUAUUUUUACAUAGCUACAUACCUCUUUUUCGAAAUAUAAGCCUUUUUAGAGGUUUCAAUACGGACUACAUAUGGACGUGUAGAGACAUAUUUUAGAGUGUAGAGUCACUCAUUUUGCUCCGUAUGUAUUCCGUAUUAGAAUCUCUAAAAUAACUUAUAUUUAGGAACGGAGGGAGUUUUAGAGUGUAGAUUCACUCAUUUUACUCUGUAUGUAGUCCGUAUUGGAAUCUCUAAAAAACUUAUAUUUAGGAACGGAGGGAGUACUAUAUUUGAUCGUUCUAGAGAAAGUUCACAAAUAAAUUCCACCUAAAUAGUGAUUACUAAUAUCUCUCGCACUAACACUCUUAUCACUCUUACAAAUAAUCUCUCUAAAAAAUAGGCAUCAACAUAGCCUCCCCAGCCGAAUAAAUGUAUGUGUAUUCAUAUAAUUAAUACAGAUGUGCUGAAGAGAUAAUAGGUGUUGCAGGUAGUACAGACAAGACACAACAAUGAAUUAUUGAACACUUUUUGCUAUACGGAACUUCAUAUAAUUAAUACGGAUGUGUUGCAGAGAUAAUCUAAGUUGAAGAGACGAUCUAAGUUGGGCAGAAUGUCAACUGAAAAAAAGUUAAUUCCCCAAAACAACGCAAGGUAAGCAAAAAGGCAGGGGAUAUGAGUAACUCUUACAUAAAUUGAGGCAGUCUUCGCUCGCUUGAUCCUAAAAAAACUCCAUGCGCAUAUUGGUCACCUCUCUGCAUUUGUCCUUCCCGGCUUCUGAUUAGUACCUCACCAUAGAACACCCUCUCCCUUUGGCGAGCAUGAAAAUUAUGAGUAAGAAGAAACCAUGCAAAGAUAAAAAAGGUAGAGAAAGGUGAGGAGAACAUAAACAUCUCCUUAUCUACACCAGAAAAAAUCUCCACCAGCUGCAGGAAGAUGAUAACAGGAGACCAUGAGCCGAUUUCUCAUAAAGAAUCCAAAAUCCACGCAAUUGCUGGAUCCUAGCAGACCAAGCAUCUGGGAAAGAAGGAGAAGGAAGGGAAGAGGAGAGAUUACCUGGAGGAGAGCCACCGCUCAGGUUCAAGGGGGGCAAACUUCACGGCCAUCCAGUCGACGGCGGCGGCGAGAAGCAGGCACGUGUGGUCAAGCUGGAAG